Molecule: ribosomal RNA, 573 nt
Filed under: Triticum aestivum (bread wheat)
Lineage: Eukaryota; Viridiplantae; Streptophyta; Magnoliopsida; Poales; Poaceae
Description: partial small subunit ribosomal RNA
Source: RNAcentral
AUGAAGUCUCUGCAAGGUUAUUUGUUUGACAUGCAUGACCUCUACUCAGUCAAAUUGGACUCCAGUUCCUUCCUGGUCCGUCCAAGGCAUCAAGGUCAAGACCAUAUUUCUGUGAAAUGCGUUGAAAGGAUUCUGACGAUAUUGUCGUUGGUGAUGUUAAGAGUCGCUGAAGAACUCAUUGCGUUAGACAUUGCUAUUCAUCCAAGACAUGAAAAGCAAAUGAGACCACAUCAGUUGGCAGGCAUGUAUUACCGCAGAAAAAGAAAGCCUUCCGACCCCAUCAAUAAUCUUUCACUUACUGCAAAUACGAUUUGCAGUUGGAGAUGUGGCAGUGUUACCGAGGAGUGGGACAGCUUGUAUGCUCAGAAGGUCCAAUUGUUAACUUUGCUUUCUACUCUGCCCGAGCCCGCUCUGAGUUAUGGGCCGAGUGUUCAAACCAAUAUGGCCAAUUCUAUUGAGCAAAGAGAACAGAAAAAGAGUGACAUAAUAGUUCUUGAUUUGGAUGAUGAUGAUGAAAGCACAGGAGCACACAAACAACUGAUGCCUGAGAAAAACAAACAGCUCACAUCUUAG